Molecule: unclassified non-coding RNA, 1423 nt
Filed under: Melitaea cinxia (Glanville fritillary)
Lineage: Eukaryota; Metazoa; Arthropoda; Insecta; Lepidoptera; Nymphalidae
Description: misc RNA ENSMCXG00005005809.1
Source: RNAcentral
UUGAUCGUGUUCAACGCCAGGUGGCUCAAAUUGUCGGCGACAAGGUCCUCUUUGAUUGGGUUAAUUCUUUGGCGCUGCGAAGAGAUGUCGGGUCACUUUGCAACUUCUACCGUAUCUACCACGGGGAGUGUUUUGAGGAAUUGUUCGGACUAAUAUCUACAGCAGAAUUCCACCACCGGACUUCGCGUGAUAAUUGCAAAUUUCACCCACAUCAACUUGAUGUCCGAAGGUCUACGACAGCUCGGUUUUUGCGGCAUUUCCUGCCACACACGACUACUCUAUGGAACCAGCUGCCACCUACGGUAUUUCCGAACCGAUACGACUUAGGAACCAUCAAAAGAAGAACAUAUUCCUAUUUGAAAGGUCGGCAACGUGCCUGAUGUAGCGGGUUCCUGUGGAUGUUGUUUUCACUUACCACCAGUGAACCCAGAUUGUGAACGAGCAUUCAACGAAGUUUAUUUAAUCAAAACAAAACUUAGAAACAGUUUAUCCAAUAAUACACGUAAGGGCAAAUUAUUAGCUAAGCAAUUAAUUAAGAAGAAACGAAAAUUUUACGAAGUUUAACCCAACAAAUUUUUUUAUUAAAAAAUACAUAGAGCAACACGGAGGGGAGUAGCCAUUGCGUUUGUUACCGAUACAAAACUGUCUGUCAUUUUUUGCGGGGAGAAAUUACACAAAUGCUCACUUUAUCUAAUUCCCACACAAUAAUAAUCGUCUGUCACUACGAAACUCACACAUACUAAAUUAAAAUCACACUUAAAUUUUUCACACACACACAUAGAUACAUUCUGUGUCACUACAGUAUAAUGACACGCCGCAACUACACUGACAAGUUGCUUCCAGCCCUGGUUGUACCAGUAAACCAUAAAUUCAAGUACUCGGUUAGGGAAAUAAGGUUUUUAAAGUGAUACAAAUCAGCUUUCUAUUAAAUUAAAAAUCAUCAAAAUCGGUCCACCCAGUCAAAAGUUCUGAAGUAACAUACAUAAAAAAAUACAGUCGAAUUGAGAACCUCCUCCCUUUUUGGGAGUCGGUUAAAAGUGUCGCGACAGCAUAUGUCUAUUAUAAUUAUGUCACAACACGUUUGGUGCAACGUUGUUGUGCCAAACAAUGCCAGUCUACAAUAAACGAUUUAAAGUUAACAUAAAUUUUGAGGAGUCGAUGAUGUACACGGUGAUGUCAACGAAUCGGGAAUAGGGAGUGUAGCACUAAUGGCAUCAUAAGAUGAUAGCUUGUCAUCUGCUAGAUUGAAUGAUUUGUUGAUGACUCUGAAAGGAUGGACAUUGUUAAUUUUCAAAGUUGAUAAAUCUAAGCUUCAUUUCACUACUAUGACUAAGGUGAACCAUAUCUUGAUUACCUUGUACAUGAGACAAAAAAAAAACUUACGGGACAAAAACAGUGUGGCGUUAGUGUUGGUUUGGUGCCC